Molecule: ribosomal RNA, 499 nt
Filed under: uncultured bacterium
Lineage: Bacteria
Description: bacterial SSU rRNA
Rfam family: Bacterial small subunit ribosomal RNA
Source: RNAcentral
UGGCGGCGUGCUUAACACAUGCAAGUCGAACGAGGGAAUUGAAAGCUUGCUUUUGAAACCCGAGUGGCAAACGGGUGAGUAACGCGUAGGCAACCUGCCGUUGAGAUGGGGACAACAUCCCGAAAGGGGUGCUAAUACCGAAUGUUGUGGUGAAUCCGCAUGGAUUUACUACUAAAGAUGACCUCUAUUUAUAAGUUAUCGCUCAACGAUGGGCCUGCGUCUGAUUAGCUAGUUGGUGGGGCAACGGCCUACCAAGGCGACGAUCAGUAGCCGGUCUGAGAGGAUGAACGGCCACAUUGGAACUGAGACACGGUCCAGACUCCUACGGGAGGCAGCAGUGGGGAAUCUUCCGCAAUGGGCGAAAGCCUGACGGAGCAACGCCGCGUGAGUGAAGAAGGCCUUCGGGUCGUAAAGCUCUGUUGAAGGGGACGAAUGUCAAGACUAUCAACAACGGUUUUGAAUGACGGUACCUUUCGAGGAAGCCACGGCUAACUACGUG